This 322-nucleotide ribosomal RNA is filed under the name uncultured bacterium. RNAcentral's name for it is "bacterial SSU rRNA". It matches the Rfam family "Bacterial small subunit ribosomal RNA", at positions 372 to 686 of the family's 1533-position model. The record is from RNAcentral.
UGGACGAAAGUCUGAUGGAGCAACGCCGCGUGAGUGAAGAAGGUUUUCGGAUCGUAAAGCUCUGUUGUUGGAGAAGAAAGAUAGAGGUAGUAACUGGCCUUUAUUUGACGGUAAUCAACCAGAAAGUCACGGCUAACUACGUGCCAGCAGCCGCGGUAAUACGUAGGUGGCAAGCGUUGUCCGGAUUUAUUGGGCGUAAAGCGAGCGCAGGCGGAAGAAUAAGUCUGAUGUGAAAGCCCUCGGCUUAACCGAGGAACUGCAUCGGAAACUGUGAUUCUUGAGUGCAGAAGAGGAGAGUGGAACUCCAUGUGUAGCGGUGGAA